This 322-nucleotide ribosomal RNA is filed under the name Microbacterium plantarum. RNAcentral describes it as "bacterial SSU rRNA". It matches the Rfam family "Bacterial small subunit ribosomal RNA", at positions 915 to 1237 of the family's 1533-position model. The record is from RNAcentral. Lineage: Bacteria; Bacillati; Actinomycetota; Actinomycetes; Micrococcales; Microbacteriaceae.
GGGGGCCCGCACAAGCGGUGGAGCAUGUGGUUUAAUUCGAUGCAACGCGAAGAACCUUACCUGGUCUUGACAUCCACGGAAGUUUUCAGAGAUGAGAAUGUGCCUUCGGGAACCGUGAGACAGGUGCUGCAUGGCUGUCGUCAGCUCGUGUUGUGAAAUGUUGGGUUAAGUCCCGCAACGAGCGCAACCCUUAUCCUUUGUUGCCAGCGGUCCGGCCGGGAACUCAAAGGAGACUGCCAGUGAUAAACUGGAGGAAGGUGGGGAUGACGUCAAGUCAUCAUGGCCCUUACGACCAGGGCUACACACGUGCUACAAUGGCGCA